RNAcentral lists this ribosomal RNA (274 nucleotides) under uncultured Bacteroides sp. RNAcentral's name for it is "partial 16S ribosomal RNA". It matches the Rfam family "Bacterial small subunit ribosomal RNA", at positions 69 to 339 of the family's 1533-position model. The record is from RNAcentral. Lineage: Bacteria; Pseudomonadati; Bacteroidota; Bacteroidia; Bacteroidales; Bacteroidaceae.
AUGAACUUAGCUUGCUAAGUUUGAUGGCGACCGGCGCACGGGUGAGUAACACGUAUCCAACCUGCCGUCUACUCUUGAACAGCCUUCUGAAAGGAAGAUUAAUACAAGAUGGCAUCAUGAGUCCGCAUGUUCACAUGAUUAAAGGUAUUCCGGUAGACGAUGGGGAUGCGUUCCAUUAGGUUGUUGGCGGGGUAACGGCCCACCAAGCCUUCGAUGGAUAGGGGUUCUGAGAGGAAGGUCCCCCACAUUGGAACUGAGACACGGUCCAAACUCC